Molecule: long non-coding RNA, 1070 nt
Organism: Carya illinoinensis
Lineage: Eukaryota; Viridiplantae; Streptophyta; Magnoliopsida; Fagales; Juglandaceae
Exons: 2
Source: RefSeq, a predicted model, not a curated record
GACCCGUGAACCACAAAACUGCUUGUUAUUUCAAUAUAUUACGCACUAAAAGAAGCAAAUAUUAUCUUUACAAUAUUUCAAUUAAAUACUAAAUAAUGUAGGGUUUGAAAGUUGAUUACUAGGUGUUCAUGGGUGAGGGUCAUCCAUUUGGAGCGCCAUGAUAGGUUGCUCUAUCUUCCUGGUGGUUGUUAGUCUCUUUUCAUCAUGCACAAUAGGCCUGCAACCCAAUCAACCCAGUUUGCAUUUUGGUCCGACCCAAUCCAACCCGGCUUACUAGACAGAAACCCCGCAUUGACCCGACCUGAACCGACUUUACUGAUUUCCUUUUAAGCUUUAACGGAGUACUUGAAUCUCAAAAUGGGAUUUUUUUGUCAAAGCAUUUGAUAUGGGUUUUAUGGGAUUCCUGGAUGGUGCUUGGGCUGAGCUGAUCCUCACGGCUGAUGCAAGCAAGCUUUGCUUUUGUGGAACAAGUUGAAGCCAGAGACGAUGCUAAGAAAGCGGUCAUUCUAUAUUCGUUUUCCGAGAAACCUGACUUGAGCUCCCUAGCAAAUUGGAGACUUGGAGUGUAUCAAACUACUUGAUUCUUACAUCCCACGGCCGCAAGAUUUUCCUUGUGGUUGAACCACGGAUCAACAAUCCGUAUAACACAUGAGGCUCCAUUGUGUUUUAAAUCGACUGCAAGUGGUAAUGACAACAGAGAAAUGGGGAGGGAUGGCAGCUAGGGUUUGAGAUCAACUGGUAAACGUGUAAUCGAUUUCAGCAGGUUCGACCCGCAAGCUAUUACAAGCCGCUUUUUCGGGUCGGGCCGGGUCGGUCCUUGCGGAUGGACCGGGUCACAACUUUAUUUGCACAGGCCUAACGCACAACAUUAAUGAUAUAUAUUGAUUGAGUUGUCUGUUUAGAUACUACAUGAAUUACAAUAAUUGUAGUAAGUUUCUUCAAAAGUUGAACACUAAGGUAAAAAAUGUGAAAAACUCAAAUGUUGAUUUUGCAAUUAACCAUUUUUCCUUAAGCAUGCACUUCAUUAAUUUAAAUAAUUGAGAUCCAUGACUGGGUGGACCUUCUGAAUU